Molecule: ribosomal RNA, 119 nt
Filed under: Pteropus alecto (black flying fox)
Lineage: Eukaryota; Metazoa; Chordata; Mammalia; Chiroptera; Pteropodidae
Source: RNAcentral
GUCUACAACCAUGCCACCCUGAACGUGACUGAUCCCAUCUGAUCUCGGAAGCUAAGCAGGUUUGGGACUGGUUAGUACUUGGAUGGGAGACCAGCUAGGAAGACCAGGUGCUGUGUGCA